This is a long non-coding RNA of Phasianus colchicus (ring-necked pheasant), 1092 nucleotides long. RefSeq lists it as uncharacterized. Lineage: Eukaryota; Metazoa; Chordata; Aves; Galliformes; Phasianidae. The record is from RefSeq and is a predicted model, not a curated record.
GGGCUGAUUGCCACUGGGGAAGGAUCUCUUUCUGGAGAUUCCUCCUUGGUGAAGCUUUCCCCUGCAAACCUAGAAUCUUCUGAUAGAGUACAGGAAAGGUGGAUAAGGAGUAUGGAGGGUCAGGAGGAUGUGUAUGUGAUCACUGAGCCAGCUGGAUACUGCACAAGGAAGCUGCUCCUUGCCUGACCUUUGUCACUGAGUUCUUCCAAAAUGAUAAGGAUAUAAACAAACGUGGGUGUUUAUCCAUGGAACAGUUCCAGUGGGAAAGAUGGAUAAAUCAGAACAUCUGAAUUUUUGCUAAUGUACUGACAGUGCUCUGCUGGAGGCAGUUAAUCUGCCUGUGGAGAACUGCUUCUGUUAUGCCAGUGCUUCCUGCUUUGAUGUUGGAAGCUGACAUGUUGCUGACAUGUCCUUCCCCUGCCCACUCGGAUCUAGGCUCCAAAGGACCUGUGCUCACACUUCACAGCUCCUGGAUCCAGGCAUGGGAUACUUUGCUCAUUUGUGUCUGAAAGCGAAUCUUUCCAAAAUUAUGCCUUGAUGCUCUGAUGCUAAGUUUUUAAAAUAUCAAAAAAUAAAAAUAAAAAAAUCCAAAGACUGGAAAAUUGUAUUGUGCCAAGUGCUACUAGGAAGCACGGUGCAUGUGAAAUGCAAGAAUUACUUAGAAAGAUUUUAGGGCCAUGUAUACUCAAGACUUGUAAAACAUUCAGAAGUACCCAUGCUUCUAAGCUGAGAUUUGGGAAGUGUUAUAUUUUUUCAGUUGUUUUGCUAUCAGAGUGGAUCUGAAAUAACAAGAUGCUUGUCCUAACCCCAAAGAUUUGUGUGUGAAUGGAUGGCGGUGUUAUGCCUGGUUAUGUAGAGUUGGGUUAUUAACAGGUGUUUGACUGUAAGAACUGUGACAGCAGAUGUGUAGAUAGGCUGAGUUGAAGGUUUGCUUCAGGUGCUCAGUCGUGACUGCAGGAGGCAGUGAUGUCUGGGUCAGAGGGGUUUAUUCCACCUGAAUUUUCCUUCCAUGCUCUUCUCCUCCUUCUGAAGCCAGCUGCAGGUGUUGGGCUUCCACCCUAGUGCUGGCCUGCCCAUUCUCCUGGCUCUUUA